This 29-nucleotide non-coding RNA is filed under the name Homo sapiens (human). Lineage: Eukaryota; Metazoa; Chordata; Mammalia; Primates; Hominidae. The record is from RNAcentral.
CCUACAGUGAUGCCUAGGAUGGUAUUGAC